This 348-nucleotide unclassified non-coding RNA is filed under the name soil metagenome. Its description in RNAcentral is "partial contains 5.8S ribosomal RNA, internal transcribed spacer 2, and large subunit ribosomal RNA". The stretch from base 1 to 120 matches the Rfam family "5.8S ribosomal RNA", at positions 35 to 154 of the family's 154-position model. The record is from RNAcentral.
GAUGAAGAACGUAGCGAAAUGCGAAAAGUAAUGUGAAUUGCAGAAUUCAGUGAACCAUCGAAUCUUUGAACGCACAUUGCGCCCGCUGGAACUCCGGCGGGCACGCCUGUCCGAGCCUCAUUUCAACCCUCAGGCCCCCCUUCGCGGGCGGGCCUGGUGUUGGGGCCCGGCCGCUACCCUGCGGCCGUCCCCUAAAUUCAGUGGCGGCCUCGCCGUGAUCCCUUGCGUAGUAAUGCACCUCGCACCGGAGAGCGCCGUGGCCACGCCGUAAAACCCCCAAUUUUCAAUGGUUGACCUCGGAUCAGGUGGGAAUACCCGCUGAACUUAAGCAUAUCAAUAAGCGGAGGA